This 254-nucleotide ribosomal RNA is filed under the name uncultured bacterium. RNAcentral describes it as "partial 16S ribosomal RNA". It matches the Rfam family "Bacterial small subunit ribosomal RNA", at positions 524 to 776 of the family's 1533-position model. The record is from RNAcentral.
UACGGGGGGAGCAAGCGUUGUUCGGAUUUACUGGGCGUAAAGGGCGCGUAGGCGGUCAGCACAAGUCAGUUGUGAAAUCUCCGGGCUUAACUCGGAAAGGUCAACUGAUACUGUGCGACUAGAGUGCGGAAGGGGCAACUGGAAUUCUCGGUGUAGCGGUGAAAUGCGUAGAUAUCAGGAGGAACACCGGUGGCGAAGGCGGGUCUCUGGGCCGACACUGACGCUGAGGAGCGAAAGCGUGGGGAGCGAACAGG